This 464-nucleotide ribosomal RNA is filed under the name uncultured bacterium. Its description in RNAcentral is "bacterial SSU rRNA". It matches the Rfam family "Bacterial small subunit ribosomal RNA", at positions 26 to 507 of the family's 1533-position model. The record is from RNAcentral.
AGUGGCUACGAGGACGAACGCUGGCGGCGUGCCUAAAACAUGCAAGUCGAACGGGGUCUUCGGACCCAGUGGCGAACGGCGGAGUAAUACAUAAGCAACGUGCCCUGAAGACUGGGAUAUACGAUGGAAACUCGGGCAAUACCAGAUGUGGUUGGGAGGAGUCAUCUUCAUCCAAUUAAACGGAUUUAUUCGCUUCGGGAGCGGCUUGUGGCCUAUCAGCUAGUUGGUGAGGUAAAGGCUCACCAAGGCGACGACGGUAGGGGGUCUGAGAGGAUGAUCCCCUCGAGUGGGACUGAGACACGGCCCACACACCUACGGGUGGCAGCAGUUGGGAAUCUUGCACAAUGGGGGAAACCCUGAUGCAGCGACGCCGCGUGGAGGAUGAAGGAUUUCGGUCUGUAAACUCCUUUUACAGGGAAAGACUUAGGACGGUACCCUGUGAAUAAGCUCCGGCUAACUACGUG